GAAAAACAAAAAUUGAAGCAAACUUCAACUUCUUUACUUUUCUCUGUCACUCUUCGCUUCAUAAACUCUAUAGUUCGAUCGUCCAAUUUUCUCCGAUCAAACCUCGCUAUUUCUCUCUCUGCAAUUGUCGUCAUGGAUUUAGUCGACGGCAACUUCGAGCUCAGGGAGAUUCAGAAACUCCAAGGCCACAACGAUAGGGUUUGGAGCCUCGCCUGGAAUCUAGCUGCCGGAACUGGUGACAUCCGUCCGGUUUUCGCUUCUUGUAGUGGCGAUAAGACCGUUCGAAUCUGGGAGCAGAGCCCUUCCUCUAGCUCUUGGGACUGCAAGUCAGUUUUGGAAGAAACGCACACUAGAACUGUUCGAUCUUGUGCCUGGUCGCCAUCUGGGAAAUUAUUGGCCACUGCAAGCUUUGAUGCGACUACUGCCAUUUGGGAAAACAUUGGGGGUGAUUUUGAAUGUGUUUCUACUCUGGAGGGUCAUGAAAAUGAAGUCAAAAGUGUGGCCUGGAAUGCUUCUGGGUCUCUGCUUGCAACAUGCAGUCGAGAUAAAACUGUGUGGAUUUGGGAAGUAAUGCCAGGGAAUGAGUUUGAGUGUGCUUCAGUA
This 603-nucleotide unclassified non-coding RNA is filed under the name Hevea brasiliensis (rubber tree). Lineage: Eukaryota; Viridiplantae; Streptophyta; Magnoliopsida; Malpighiales; Euphorbiaceae. The record is from RNAcentral.